RNAcentral lists this ribosomal RNA (497 nucleotides) under uncultured bacterium. Its description in RNAcentral is "partial 16S ribosomal RNA". It matches the Rfam family "Bacterial small subunit ribosomal RNA", at positions 28 to 507 of the family's 1533-position model. The record is from RNAcentral.
GAUGAACGCUGGCGGCGUGCCUAAUACAUGCAAGUCGAGCGAACGGACGAGAAGCUUGCUUCUCUGAUGUUAGCGGCGGACGGGUGAGUAACACGUGGAUAACCUACCUAUAAGACUGGGAUAACUUCGGGAAACCGGAGCUAAUACCGGAUAAUAUUUUGAACCGCAUGGUUCAAAAGUGAAAGACGGUCUUGCUGUCACUUAUAGAUGGAUCCGCGCUGCAUUAGCUAGUUGGUAAGGUAACGGCUUACCAAGGCAACGAUGCAUAGCCGACCUGAGAGGGUGAUCGGCCACACUUGAGCUGAGACACGGUCCAGACUCCUACGAGAAGCAGCAGUAGGGAAUCUUCCGCAAUGGGCGAAAGCCUGACGGAGCAACGCCGCAUGAGUGAUGAAGGUCUUCGGAUCGUAAAACUCUGUUAUUAGGGAAGAACAUAUGUGUAAGUAACUGUGCACAUCUUGACGGUACCUAAUCAGAAAGCCACGGCUAACUACGUG